RNAcentral lists this ribosomal RNA (516 nucleotides) under uncultured eukaryote. RNAcentral describes it as "bacterial SSU rRNA". It matches the Rfam family "Eukaryotic small subunit ribosomal RNA", at positions 243 to 759 of the family's 1831-position model. The record is from RNAcentral.
AUGGUGAUUCAUAGUAAGGUUGGAAAAUCGUAUGGGAGUAAUCCUGACGAUAUAUCAUUCAAAUUCUGCCCUAUCAACUUGGAUGGUAGUAUAGAGGACUACCAUGGUGAUAACGGGUAACGGAGAAUAGGGUUUGAUUCCGGAGAGGGAGCCUGAGAAAAUGGCUACCACUUCUAAGGAGGGCAGCAGGCGCGACAAAUUACCCAAUCCUAAUACAGGGAGGUAGUGACAAUAAAUAACAAUGUAGGGGAUGAUAAAAUCUUUACAAUUGGAAUGAGAACAAUUUAAACCCCUUAACGAGUAACAAUUAGAGGGCAAGUCUGGUGCCAGCAGCCGCGGUAAUUCCAGCUCUAAUAGCGUAUAUUAAAGUUGUUGCAGUUAAAAAGCUCGUAGUUGGAUUUUAGUAAGAUUAUUAGAAAUAGGUCGGUUAGGAAACUAAUCUUGUACUUGUUUCAUCUUACUUGAUUUACUGGUUACUCGACUCUGUUCUUUAUUGAAUGGAGUAGUAUCGCAAGG